AUGACGCUGACCUCCGUCCUCAUCUGGACUCUGCUCUGCUGCUGCUUCACAGAGUCCAGAGGCCAGGUCACAGUGACUCAGCCUGGAGCAGUGAGCUCUGCUCUGGGAGGCUCCGUCGCCAUCAGAUGUAGGACCAGUCAGGAUGUUUAUGUCUAUAGCAACAACCCCCGUUUAGCCUGGUACCAACAGAGAGAUGGAGAAACUAUUAAACUACUUAUUUACUUUGCUACCACUCGAGCAUCAGGGAUUCCAGGUCGUUUUACAGGCAGUGGAUCAAACUCUGACUUCACUCUGACCAUCAGUGGAGUCCAGGCUGAAGAUGCAGGAGUUUACUACUGUCUGAGUUAUCACUAUCUCAACAGUAAGAAUCUGUUCACACAGAGAAGAAGUGUCGUUCAAUCUCACAUGAUUAACCGCUUUUCCAAGGGUUGUCUCAGUGCUGUGGUACGUGAAGGAGCUGGAGUUAACUUCAUGUAA
Xiphias gladius (swordfish) is the source of this 477-nucleotide non-coding RNA. Lineage: Eukaryota; Metazoa; Chordata; Actinopteri; Istiophoriformes; Xiphiidae. The record is from the annotation of a RefSeq genome assembly.